RNA transcript from Numida meleagris (helmeted guineafowl), 5265 nucleotides. It is a transcript of the gene named zinc finger protein 239-like, with no coding region annotated. NCBI's taxonomy places the organism in Eukaryota, Metazoa, Chordata, Aves, Galliformes, Numididae. The record is from RefSeq and is a predicted model, not a curated record. The transcript is spliced from 3 exons.
UUUUUUUGUUUUGUUGCUAGCGUUGUUUUUGUUUAUUUGUUUUUUUGGUGUCUGUUCCUUAACCCCUAUUUGGUUUUCUAAGAGCACUGCCAAAGCAAUAAAUCAAGGUAAUGGGUAAUGAAGCAAUCAGCAACUGAGAUCAAGUCAUUCCUUCAACAAAUGAGUUUUAUUGGGUACAUAUCACCAAGACAUGUAUGAACUCCUCAAGAUGCAGUCCUUCCAGAAAACUGACAAGUGUUGUAGUCUAAAGAAUUUAUAUCUUUGAAACACGACGGAGUUGCUCUUCAGCACUAACACAAAUGGAACACAACACAGUAAUGUUGCUGCACUGUUUGGAAGUUUGCUUGUUUAUCCAUGAGCAAAUACAGAUUCAGGUAGCUGCAUUUUAGCAUUGACAUAGCAAUUGCCUGCUUUCCAAUUUUUCUAAUUAAUUUGGUGGUAGUUUGCUUCCUGUCUUGUUUUUUUUUUUUUUCCACCUCCCAUGAAAUGUAACACAGAUGUAUGUAAUGGAGAUGCACUGAUAUUCAGAACCCAACUGGAUGUGACCCAGGGCAGCUUGAGCAGAGGGGUGCACCAGGUGAUCCUCCAGGAGUGCCUUCCAACCUCAGCUAUUUGGCGAUUUUGUAGUUCCCAUAUCAGAAACAGCUGGGGGAGUGAGGGGGGAGCUUUGGUAUUUCCAAUCCAAACCAAGGGAUGGCAAUGUCCUCUGGGAAGGCACUAUGCUUUCCAUGGUUUUAACAAGCAAUCUUUUCUAGGCUAUGGAAAACUGUGUCUCUGUUUUAAAGCUAAAAUAUUUACAGUUGUGUUCUCUGCCAAAUGUGUUCAAAGAAGAACAAGACAGCAAACUGGCCUUACUGUUUAUUUCUCUUUUAGCAGCUGUGCAGAGUGACAGUGCUCUACAUUUGAGUGAUUAAUACAUCACUCUGCACCAAAAGCUUGUUCUGUGCAGGUGAAAAUGGUUGAUCAAUACCUAAGUUUAAGAAACAAUCUUCAGUGGGUAGCCACAGUCACUCAAAUGUCUUUAAGACCAUCCUCCCUUCUAUUCAGAUGGCAGUUUAGCUAAACGUAAAGUAAUUACUAUAAAGACUGUUGGAAGAUAGGGGAUUCGUUCAUGCACUACAGUGCCGAGAGAAUGGUAAAGCUGAGAGUUUGCUAGAACUAACAGCAAAGUAGAAACUUAAUUAUUCCCCUGUGUAGCGCUUCUCCUUAUCGACUGUAAUUCUCAUCAGAUUUCAUUGCUUUCCUCCAACAGACUCUUCAUUAGACACACAUCUUUGGUCAUUUCAGCUCUUUAGGUUGUUUUAAAGACAUAUAAAUAAAUAAAUAAGCAUUUUUAACACUAAAUGCAUUGAACCUAUAAAAAACAAUAUAUCAGCUUUGUCAAAACAAAAGAAAAGGGUACUUCCAAGUCAUUAGCCAAAUGAAGUUGCUCUGCAGUAGCAAAUAAAUGGAGCCAAGACUUGACAUGGCAGUGUUUCUGAACAAAUAGUUAUUUUGAAAUGCGGGAAGUUUUUCAAAAGCAUCUGUCUAGAUUCAGGCAGUUGCAUUUUAAUAGUGAAUUCAUAAAUGCCAGCUUACCAUUUUUAUCACCCUGGAGACACUUGGUUUCUCCUUUCCAUGAAAUAUGACUACAUUACUCACUUUGGGCAUUUCAUUGCUUUCCACAUUUUUAAGACAGCCAAACUUGCUUGGAAAGAUUUCUCCCCAGUUAUCAAUUUGUAAUUAUUGAGUUGUCUGCAGGACAAUACUUGCAUGGUUACUUGUAGAAUCACUGAAAUGCUGAUUGGAAGAGAUCUCUGGAGUCCAGCCUCCUGCUCAAAGCAGAACAACCACCAGCACUAGAACAGGUCUGCCACGGGUUUGUCUAGCCAAAUUCUGAAAGCCUCCAAGAAUGGAAAACUAGCAAGCUGUAAGGUAGCCUGUUCCUCUCAAACACUGCCCUCACAACGAAUUAGUACUUCUCAGUGUCCAGCCUGAAUUUUUAAAUCAAACUUGCCUUUAUCAUUUCCCUCUAAGCAGAAUAGUUUGCUUCUGCUCACUGUUCACGUGUCCUAGGCUCCUAAGCACCUUGGGAACCCUCUCCAGUUCUUCCAUAUCCUUAUUGAAUCGGAGGGCCCAAAGCUGGACACAGUAUUACAGGUGUGGCCCCACCAGAUCUGAACAGCAUGUGUAACCUCUCUUGAUCUGCCAGCCAUGCUUUUCCUGAUGUAGCCCACUAUGCAGGCUGCCCUGUUUGUAAUUGGAGCAUACUGGGCUGUUUUCUGCUUGGUGUCCAGGUCCUGUUCAGCACGGCAGUCACUCAGACAGCCACUUCUGAUGCACAUUGUCAUUCUGGCAUGUGUGAGGAACUUUGGUCUUCUCCUUGCUAAACUACAUUAAGUCUCUGUUGGCUCGAUCUACAGGUUUUUCAGGGUCCCCUGGAACUGAAGCUUUACUGUAUAAAUAUCUCAACUCCCACCCAUUUCAAUAUCACCUGCAAAUUGGCCGAGGAUGCAUUCUGUCUCAUCAUCCAAGCUGCUGACAAGAAAAGUCAUUACCAAACACUGGCUAUUAUGGGUCAUGAACUAGACAUCAAGCUGUUGGCUGAGCUUGGAGGAUCAGUAAGUUUUCAGCCUGUCUCUCAGUUUCCAAAGGAGAACGCUGUGGGAUACAGUAGGCCAUCAGAAGCCUUAUUAGAAAGAAGGUGUACUACAUCCCUGCUCUCUCUUCAUCCAUGCCACCAGUCAUGUCUGGAUAGCAGGCAGCCAUGGUGGUCAGAUGGCAUUUGUCCAUGGUAGAUUGAAACCAAGGGUUUCCAAUCACCUUUUUCUCAACAUGUAUUUGGAAAUGAAUUCAGUGGUUGUAUUCACUGAUGCUGGACAGCAGCCUGAUGCGUCAGCCUAAUGGUCCCUCACAUCAGUAUUUAAGCCACAGACAGUACUAUAGUUUCAUGUGCAGGAUACUUUCCUCUUUCUUUCUUCUCUAUACAUUUGUACUUUGACUGCAAACAUACUGACCUUCUGCCUUCCACAUUCCUAAGCAGAUGUGCUUUGCAGCAAACAUGUCAAGGAUGCAGCAAUGCAUCUGACAGUCGUACUGUUUUACAGACUGAUGGGGCUACAGAGUCAUAGAAUCAUUAGGUUAGAAAAGACCCCUAAGAUCAUCUGGUCCAACCAUCAACUUAUCCCCACCGUGCCCACUAAACUGUGUCCUUCUCCCACACCUCCAUGUUUCCUGAAUGCCUCCAGGGAUGGUGAUUCUACCGCCUCCCUGGGCAGCCAGUUCCAACACCUCACCACUCUUCCUGAGAAUAAUUUUUUCCUACAUCCAACCUGACCCUAUUCACUUUAUUUCAGUAUUCCAAACUUAUUUUGUCAAUGGCCAUUUCUCCAUCUGUUCCGACACAGUGAAAGCACAGACUGCAAGCCUAAAGAGCUUGUAUGUCAAACACAACCUCCCCAACAGAAAGUCGUAACACAAAUUGAUGCUUAAACCUAACAAAGCCUCAGCACCACAGAAAUGAACUCUAUUCAUUUCCCUGUCACUGCAAUUUCCAUACUAUUUAGGGCACACUGUCACUAAGGUUUCUGCUCAUGGGCACAGGGGGCCUACCUCUUUGACCAGGCCCACUCCAGGUUCCAUGGUAAGGUAGCAGGGAAACCCAAAUGGAAAUAAAAUGGAAUAAGAGGGCAAUACACUGAGGUCAGCACGGCAAGAACAGGGGCGGACUCACUGUGACCCCUGACAGCUUGUCCCAGGAGGGCUUGAGCUGCAGCCCAGGGGUCAGACUUUCUACCGCGGGACGGAAUGUCCCCCCCGGGCCGUGCUUGGAAGUGGCCUGGUGCUGCCCAAAUGCACACCAGGAGCGCUGCAACAGCUCGCUGUCACCGGCGGUUGUGUUCUGUGCUCUCGAGGGAGUCUCCGGACACAGCUCAAUCCUCAAUGCCCAGAGAAGCUGUGGAUGCCCCACCCCUGGAGGCGCUCAAGGCCGGGCUGGAUGGGGCCCUAGGCAGCUCCAAACGGGGAGAACUCCCCCACCUCGCAGCCCGCUUCCCUCAGCGCCGAGCACGGCUCCCUCCCUCCAUCCCUUCCCGAACGGCUCCAGGCCGCGCCGCCCCGCCCAGGAAGCGCCCUUUGCCCGCGGAGCAGGAAGCGGGGCGGCGCCGGGCGGCAGCGGGCGUCCUGCAGGUAGGCGCGGGGCGGCUGGCUCGGGGCGGCAGCGGAGCGCUGGGCCGGGAGAGGGCAGCCCGGGUAGGAAGCUCCGGCAGAGCCUUUGUCUGUCGGCACCGUGGAGGAAGGACCUGCCCGGAGAAGAGACAGAAAGGAGAAGGGGAGGGCCGGCUGUCCUUUUUGUACUCCUCUCUCCGCUUCAGCCGCCGUCCCUGUGUGCUCGCGUGCCUUGCUUGUAACGCGGUUCCCCCGUCCCAUCCCUUUUCACCUGCCUUAGGCAGAAGCAUCUCCUUGCCCAGUUUCCACCCGCCGCUUCCGAUCCCUGUUGCACACAGGCAGCCUCGUACUCUGCUCCCGUUCCCCAAAGCUCCACGGCUCCCUCUUGUCCUGCGCACCCCUGUCUGGGUGCCGUGGCAGUGGCCUGCCCCAUCCUCCUGCCCGUCCCAGCGCAUCAGCCCGCGCUUCACGGACGGCAUCGCUGUACGUCAGGGACAGGGCACAGGCUGCCCAGGGCUGUGGGCACGACCCCACGUACCGGUGUUCAGGGAGUGCUUGGACACCGCUUUCAGACAUAGGGUUUGGAAUUUGGGUGGUCCUGUGUGGAGUCCAGAGUUGGACUCGGUAAUUCUUGUGGGGCCCCUUCCAGCGUGGGGUAUUCACACCUUGUUCUGAAUGGCAGCUUUGUGCCUUUGUGCCCGGGAUGACCAUGCAGAGAACGCUCAGCCAGCAACAGCACUUCAGGAGCAGACUGCAGGACCCCGAUGAGCCUGAGAGAUGGAGCUCUACGCUGGGAUGACUCCCACAGCCUCCACAGCGCGACGCAGCCACAGGACGACUAUGGAGCUGAGUGGUCAGGAGAGAAAAUGAAGAGCCAUCAGCAAACAGCUGAGGAGGAUUCCUGAUUGGUGAACCUGACAUAACCUGCCCAGAUGGACCAAGGAGAAGAUCAAGAUCAUGAGGCCUCGGAGGAGAUGCACGUGUUGAGGUCGGUCCCUUUCUGAAUCACUUCACAAGCACGGAUCAGCAGGACUUGUUGGCACCAGGAUCCACGGCGGGAGAGGAACAGCUGGGGAAUGGCCGUGGAAGUCAGUGUGGUUCCACAGAGGCACGGCGAGG